GGGGAAUAUUGCACAAUGGGCGCAAGCCUGAUGCAGCGACGCCGCGUGGGGGAUGAAGGCCUUCGGGUUGUAAACUCCUUUCGCUAGGGACGAAGCUUUGUGUGACGGUACCUAGAUAAGAAGCACCGGCUAACUACGUGCCAGCAGCCGCGGUAAUACGUAGGGUGCGAGCGUUGUCCGGAAUUACUGGGCGUAAAGGGCACGUAGGUGGUUUGUCGCGUCGUCUGUGAAAUUCUGGGGCUUAACUCCGGGCGUGCAGGCGAUACGGGCAUAACUUGAGUGCUGUAGGGGUAACUGGAAUUCCUGGUGUAGCGGUGAAAUGCGCAGAUAUCAGGAGGAACACCGAUGGCGAAGGCAGGUUACUGGGCAGUUACUGACGCUGAGGAGCGAAAGCAUGGGUAGCGAACAGGAUUAGAUACCCUGGUAGUCCAUGCCGUAAACGGUGGGCGCUAGGUGUGAGGGUCUUUCUACGACUUUCGUGCCGUAGCUAACGCAUUAAGCGCCCCGCCUGGGGAGUACGGCCGCAGGGCUA
Molecule: ribosomal RNA, 532 nt
Filed under: uncultured bacterium
Lineage: Bacteria
Description: bacterial SSU rRNA
Rfam family: Bacterial small subunit ribosomal RNA
Source: RNAcentral